This is a transfer RNA of Conidiobolus coronatus NRRL 28638, 83 nucleotides long. It matches the Rfam family "tRNA". From Rfam's summary of the family: Transfer RNA (tRNA) molecules are approximately 80 nucleotides in length. Their secondary structure includes four short double-helical elements and three loops (D, anti-codon, and T loops). The record is from Rfam. Lineage: Eukaryota; Fungi; Entomophthoromycota; Entomophthoromycetes; Entomophthorales; Conidiobolaceae.
GGCAAGAUGGCCGAGUGGUCUAAGGCGCUGCGUUCAGGUCGCAGUCUACAUUGUAGGCGUGAGUUCGAACCUCACUCUUGUCA